RNAcentral lists this ribosomal RNA (23 nucleotides) under Megalophaedusa expansilabris. Its description in RNAcentral is "Hemiphaedusa expansilabris partial 5.8S rRNA". The record is from RNAcentral. Lineage: Eukaryota; Metazoa; Mollusca; Gastropoda; Stylommatophora; Clausiliidae.
GAAAAACCAGAAAAGAAAUGGAC